RNAcentral lists this long non-coding RNA (464 nucleotides) under Calidris pugnax (ruff). RNAcentral describes it as "lncRNA (ENSCPUG00000012324.1)". Lineage: Eukaryota; Metazoa; Chordata; Aves; Charadriiformes; Scolopacidae. The record is from RNAcentral.
UUAGUUUGCUUUAACCUACUUACUAUUGGGCAUAAAUGGGUAUUUGUGAAGCAAAAUCAAAGAUGAGAUUGCUAGGCCCUUCGUAUCUAUCAACAGUUAUUAACUGCUCAUUUGUAUUGUUGCAGCGUAAGUGGAAGUAUGGGAGAUAACAUCUCUGUUAUCAGUUAUGUACAUUAGAGCUCCUCACGUGAGUUACAGGACGCAGUAGAAGGCAACUGCAAGAGGAAAUACUGGAAGCCCACACAGUUCUCAGAGUCCAAUGCAACAGGCUGUAUGUACCUUGGACUGGAACCCCAGCGGUGUUUUCUGCUGAAGCCCUCGGUCUAGCCCAGGGUGUUCACCAAAAUGGAGCAUAUUUGGGCACUCACCUCCUGCGCAAGCUCAGUGUAACCAAACCAGGCCACCAUGGUACCACAGUUAAAGAUCAUGGAGAACAUCGGGUGAAAAAAUUGCUUUCCAUCUGA